This is a non-coding RNA of Acanthosepion pharaonis, 111 nucleotides long. NCBI's taxonomy places the organism in Eukaryota, Metazoa, Mollusca, Cephalopoda, Sepiida, Sepiidae. The record is from the annotation of a GenBank genome assembly.
CGGACACAUCAAAUUGAAACACCGGUUCACGUAUGAUCAUUGAAGUUAAACAACGUCGAGCCUGGUCAGUUCCUAGAUGGGUGACCAUUUGGGAUUACCAGGUGCUGUAAG